RNAcentral lists this ribosomal RNA (434 nucleotides) under uncultured bacterium. Its description in RNAcentral is "partial 16S ribosomal RNA". It matches the Rfam family "Bacterial small subunit ribosomal RNA", at positions 29 to 507 of the family's 1533-position model. The record is from RNAcentral.
AGCGAACGCUGGCGGCAGGCUUAACACAUGCAAGUCGAGCGGGCACUUUCGGGUGUCAGCGGCGGACGGGUGAGUAACGCGUGGGAACGUGCCCUCUGGUUCGGAAUAACUCAGGGAAACUUGAGCUAAUACCGGAUACGCCCUUUUGGGGAAAGGCUUGCUGCCGGAGGAUCGGCCCGCGUCUGAUUAGCUAGUUGGUGAGGUAACGGCUCACCAAGGCGACGAUCAGUAGCUGGUCUGAGAGGAUGAUCAGCCACACUGGGACUGAGACACGGCCCAGACUCCUACGGGAGGCAGCAGUGGGGAAUAUUGGACAAUGGGCGCAAGCCUGAUCCAGCCAUGCCGCGUGAGUGAUGAAGGCCUUAGGGUUGUAAAGCUCUUUUAUCCGGGACGAUAAUGACGGUACCGGGGAAUAAGCCCCGGCUAACUUCGUG